Molecule: ribosomal RNA, 253 nt
Filed under: uncultured bacterium
Lineage: Bacteria
Description: partial 16S ribosomal RNA
Rfam family: Bacterial small subunit ribosomal RNA
Source: RNAcentral
UACGGGGGGGGUAAGCGUUGUUCGGAAUUACUGGGCGUAAAGGGCUCGUAGGCGGCCAACUAAGUCAGACGUGAAAUCCCUCAGCUUAACUGGGGAACUGCGUCUGAUACUGGAUGGCUUGGAUUUGGGAGAGGGAUGCGGAAUUCCAGGUGUAGCGGUGAAAUGCGUAGAUAUCUGGAGGAACACCGGUGGCGAAGGCGGCAUCCUGGACCAAUAUUGACGCUGAGGCGCGAAAGCCAGGGGAGCAAACGGG